Molecule: ribosomal RNA, 253 nt
Filed under: uncultured bacterium
Lineage: Bacteria
Description: partial 16S ribosomal RNA
Rfam family: Bacterial small subunit ribosomal RNA
Source: RNAcentral
UACGGAGGGUGCAAGCGUUAUCCGGAUUCACUGGGUUUAAAGGGUGCGUAGGUGGGCAGUUAAGUCAGUGGUGAAAUCUCCGGGCUCAACCCGGAAACUGCCAUUGAUACUAUCUGUCUUGAAUAUCGUGGAGGUAAGCGGAAUAUGUCAUGUAGCGGUGAAAUGCUUAGGUAUGACAUAGAACACCAAUUGCGAAGGCAGCUUACUACCCGAAUAUUGACACUGAGGCACGAGAGCGUGGGGAUCAAACAGG